UUUCCCCAGGAAUAUUGGCUUUGCGUUUUAAUUUUUAACUCUAAUUUUUGUUUUAUCUUGAUUUUUUUUUUUUUUUUUUUUUCUAUUUUUGUGAAAUGUUUUGGUUUUUUAUAUUUUUUUGGGAUAUUUAAAAUUUGUUUUUUGAACUGGAUUAGUACCCAGGUAAUCAAAGUUUAAUAAUUCGGGAGUAAAGUUUUGUUUAAACCGAAAAAAUAUUGACUGACUUUAGAUUUUUCUUUGGAACAUGUGAUAGAUUAGGAUAGUCCUCUUUUUUUGUUAUUUCUGUAGGCACAUGUAUGAUUGUUUAGCUUUUAUUUUUUUUGUGAUGCUUUUACUUUUUUGUUUUAAAAUAGAUAUAUAUUUGGCUUAUGUUUUUUUGUUCAUGUGUUACUAUUUUUAAUUUUUUUUGGAUUGUUUUUUAAUUUUUAUAUGAAAUUGGAAAAGAGAGUAAUUKRAUUUUUAUAUUUUGAGGAAAUUAAA
This 480-nucleotide ribosomal RNA is filed under the name Litomosa westi. Its description in RNAcentral is "partial small subunit ribosomal RNA". The record is from RNAcentral. Lineage: Eukaryota; Metazoa; Nematoda; Chromadorea; Rhabditida; Onchocercidae.